This 6970-nucleotide long non-coding RNA is filed under the name Brassica napus (rape). Its description in RNAcentral is "long non-coding RNA (BNAP_LNC007724)". The record is from RNAcentral. Lineage: Eukaryota; Viridiplantae; Streptophyta; Magnoliopsida; Brassicales; Brassicaceae.
AAGUACUUACAAGAGAGCACGAUCCUCACGAACAUUGUUGUCAACCUCAAUGAUCUUAGACCCAGCCAAGAGCUGCAUAACGAGACCAGAGGUGACAAUGGGAGUGAUACCAAGCUCCAUGACAGUACCACGGUUGGAAGCAAGAAUGACACGCAUCCAAUACAAGGGAUCAGCCCCUGUGGUGGCGUGGAUUCCGUAGAGAGGAAGCUGGCUGCAGACGAGGAAGAUGAAGAGGGAGAUGACUGUGUAGAUGACUUUCUCCCUGAAUGGAAUCUUCCUGUCAGCACUCUGCACCUCUGGGAGAAAAGGCAAGAACGGCCUCACCAGAUGCAAUACUCUGAAUCCUCCUCCCAUUAUACCUUUUCUGCAAACAGUCAUAAGCAAGAACGAUAUAGCUACUUGUUAAUUUGCUAUUCAACGAAAUUACAUUCGAUCACAGCCCAUAGAUUAGAUCUACCUAAAAUUUUCACGAAAAUCUCAGAUCUAUAUUGCGAAAAGUUGAUAGAUCAUGGAUGAAUCUUUGUAACUAGAUCAGGAAGCUAAAUUAUCAAGAAGGAUCGGAGACGAUUUGGGAUUAUCAAUCUCUGUAGUUUAGGGAUCGAAGAAGCUUUACCUCUCUGCGAGCUUGAGAGUAAGCGCUGCGAAGAAGAAGAAGAAGAAACGUGUUCCAAGAUUUUUUCGCUCGAAGCUAUUUUAAACAAGAAGAUACAUGUCAUCAAACCAAUUAGAAUCGCACACGUGGCCGACUAUGGCCAAGUGAUGACGACUUGAUUUUACACAAACAAAAAAAAACUCUUAUCGAUAAUAACAUUGUUAGGUAUAUUGACCAAUUUUUGUUUUAAGGAUUCUAAUAAUCAUCUUAUUGAUGACAAAUAUAUAGGGGAUUCGAUGUCGCAAGCCAUGAAGGAAUACUAAGUCUGUGCCACCGCCAUAUGGAAAGACUGUCAAGGUUGGCAUAGAACAUGAACUGAGUAAAAAUACUAUGCUUCAUAUGUCAAAGACUACUCGAGAGGCGAGUUAUUGUUUCUAGGGCAGGGCAUUAAAACCGAACCCGAUCACCCGAACCGAACCCGGUCCGAUAAAACCGGUUCGGGUCGGGUUCGGAUCUUGAGAAAUACCCGAAUGGUCACAUAUUUUUGGUAUAAUGGGUUACGGGUCGGGUCGGGUAAAAAGCACCAACCCGAUCGGGUUAAUGGAUACCCGAGCAUCGAGUGAUAUAUGUCUAGGUUUCCAUUUUUUCCCCCUUUCGAUUUCUCUUGAUCUUGUUACGAUUUGAUCGUUUCUUCUCAAUAUUGAGAUUUCCCUAAAUCAUGAUCCUCUUUCCUAAACAUAUCCUCUCCGAUUUCUCUUCCGAUCGGUUCCGUGAUUCACAAACCCUUGUAUCUCCUUUCUUAUAUAAGUUGUGCUCUUCACCGAGGUACAAAGCACCAAAACUCCUCUCCUCCUCCUUCGACGAUUUCAUUAAGAGGUGAGAUACUCUUCCUCCUUUUCUCUGCAAUCGAGUAAUGGCUAGAUGUUCUGGGGUUUAUGGGUCAUUCGGAUUUGUCGGGUUUAUGGGUUUCCUAUUCAGCUAGUUGUUUUCAUGAACAGAACAACGUCUUAUGUUCUUAAUUCAUAGAGUUAUGUUCUGUUGUUAGAUGAUGUUCGUCUGCAGUUGUUUCAUUUUCUUAUAAAAAGUGACGUUUUAUUUAUCUUGAUUGAUCCUUAAAGAUGAUUGUUUUUUUUAACUUGUGUUCAUGUCUAUGCGAUGAUGUUGAUGUUCUGUUUUUUCAUGUUCUAAAAUGUAUUUAAUCUUUAGUUGUUUUGUCUGUUUUGUUUUGUUCAAUCUGACUAUUGUUUGUCACUUCUUAGCAAAUGGAUUCAUCAACAUUCAAGAACACAAACAGUGGAGCUGACAAGCAAGAUGGGGUCGAAUACGAGAACUUUGAAACACCAGAUAGGUGUGGAAAGAGGAAGGAGACAUGUACACCUUGCGAAGAAAGUCCUGAGGCAAAAAAGGUGAAAAAAGUUGUUGUGCCAAGAUCAGAUGUCUGGAAUCAUUACACCAGGACAAAGCAGAGCCGUGACAGGUGCAUUUGCCACUACUGCCAGAAGGUGUUUUCAUGUGCAACAAAAUCAGGAACUUCCAAUCUCCAGAAGCACCUGCUCAUCUGCAAAGAGUACCAGGCGCACUUAAUCAGCAAAGGAAAGAGUCAAACUUCCAUCGAUGAUGAAGGGAGUUUGAAGCCAUCAAAGGUACCUGAGAAAGUUGUCAGAGAAGCUACGAAUGAGCUAUUGGUGUUAGCUGAGUUGCCUCUGUCUUUCGUAGACAGUACAGGAUGGAAGUAUUUCUGCAAUAAGGUAAAGUUUUGAAUUGUAAAUUAUUUCUCUGAUUUAUGAAACUAACGUCAAUUUGUUUUUUCCGUGAAGGUGAACCUUUACAAACCUCAUUCAAGGCGAACUGCCACUAGAGACAUUGUGGAGAUGUUUCUGAAGAAGAAAGAAGCAUUGAAGAUAUAAUUGCAGACUAACAAACAAAGAGUUUCUCUCACUACUGACAUUUGGGUUUCUCAAGUGACAGGUAAGGUUUUUUCUUUUCUGAAAAGUGAAAACAAUCUAAUUUUUUAUUUAUACUAAUAGCAUUGUUUUUUAAAAAAAAAUUUCAGGUGCAAGUUACAUGGUUGUAACUGCACAUUUUGUUGACCCGACUUGGCAGCUGAAGAAGAUCAUCCUUGGUUUCAAACUGGUCAUGGAUCAUAAAGGUCAGACGAUUUCCACAGUUCUUUUAGAAUGCUUAGCUGACUGGGGAAUUGAGAAACUGUUUUGCAUUACGGUAGACAAUGCCACUGCUAACACCUCUGCUCUUAGGCGUUUCCAUAGUCAGUUUAGGUCAGUCUCGCCUGAUGCUUUGGUAUUAGAUGGUAACUUUCUUCAUAUGAGGUGUUGUGCACACAUUAUCAACUUGAUAGCUAGGGAGGGUCUAGGUGAUUUAGGCGACAAUGUGUUGGCAAUCCGCAAUGCAGUCCAGUAUGUCCGGUCUUCUACCAAUAGGUUAAACGCCUUUGACCAGAGGGUUACUACUGGUAAGAUGACACGAGGAAGUCUCCCGAUGGAUGUUAAGACUAGGUGGAAUUCAACCUUUCUCAUGUUAUCAAGAGCCUUGCAGUUCAGAGUGGCGUUUGAUAGGAUGGAAGCAGAGGAUAGACUGUACAAUGACUACUUUUUAGAAGUAGAAAAUGGUGUUAAGAGGUGUGGACCGCCUGGUCUUAGUGACUGGAAUGCUGUGGAGAAGCUAAGGAGGUUCCUGGUCAUCUUUUAUAAUAGCACUUUAGUUGUCUCAGCUUCCUCAAAGGUGAACUCCUACAAAUGCUAUGGUGAGAUUGUGACAAUUGAGAGGAAUCUCAAUGCAUUGGCUUGCAACUUAGACUUGGAUUUGAAGUUGAAAGCUGAAGACAUGUUGCAGAAGUUCUUGAAGUAUUGGGAUGGCAUGAAGAAUGUGAACCGGAUGUUGAUUCUUGCAGCAGUACUCGAUCCCAGGAAGAAGAUGACUUACCCAAGCUUCUGUUUUGAGACACUGUAUGGAAAAGACAGUACAGAAGCCAAAGAAAUGAGUGACUCUGUGCUUGAUCUCCUUACAAGAAUGUUCAACGAGUAUGCUAGCCGGUUCAAAGGGGCUAAUAGCGAAUCAUCUCAGGCGAAGCAGACUGAGACGGUGGCUGUUCAGGAGAGUCAAGAUCAUUUGGACAGGCUCAAGUUGGUUGUUGAAGACUUUGGGUAUUUGAGAAUGGACUCCGAGUACAAGAAUCUUGUUGCUGAUUCAGGAAAUGAGCCAAGGGAUGAGCUGGAGAUGUACUUAAAGGAACCAGUUGAGAAUCAAAAGCUUAUGAUGGGAUUCGAGUUUGACAUACUUGGUUGGUGGAAGGUUCACAAAAUGAAGUUUCCUGUGCUAGCAGAGAUGGCGAGGGAUUUAUUUGCGAUGCAGGUUUAAUUACUUCUGUUGUUCCGUUGGUAGUUAAUUUUUUUUUUUUCUAGAAUGCUUAGCUGACUUGAGGAUUUACUUGUGAUGCAGGUUUCAUCAGUGGCUUCAGAAAGUGCUUUUAGCACAAGUGGCAGAAUCUUGGAACCAUAUAGGAGCUGUUUAACCCAUUACUUGAUCGAGGUUCUGAUGUGCAGUGAGCAGUGGCUGAAAGCUGAUAUUAAGUUCUCUGAGAAAGUCCAAACAAAUGAGCAGAUUUUAGCUGAAAUUGAGCAGCUAGACAAGCUUGAGAAAGGUAUGUAUUAUUUAUCUUGGUUUCUCUUACCAUUUCAUUUGAUUGUUGGUGUACUUAACCAAGCUUUUGUUUGUCGCUUCAGAGUUUGGGACUGUGAGGAUUGAAGACUGAAGAUUGCUUUGGAACUUGGAAGUCUUUUUGUUUCUGUUUUGGUGUUGGCUUUGCUUUAUAUUUCAACUUUGAUCUCAUUAGAGAUGUACUCUGUUUCGAGUGUUGCUUUUAAGGUUCAUUAUGAACAAGUUUGCUUUCUUUUGAAGUUUAAUAAAGGUUCUUUUAUGUUUUAUUUUCACCAUUGCAACUGUUCUGUUGAUUAUUUAUUCUAGUCUUCGUCCCCAUUUGGAUAUAGUUGUGUAAAUAACUUGUGUUGCUUAAAGAUGAAACACUUAUAGACUCUUCGUCACCAUUACUUGUGUUUGUGUAAUGCAUGCUAUGCUUUGAUUGAUUUUUUGAAGUGUGUUUUAGUUUAUGUCUAUAAGUGUUUCAUGAAACAAGAUAACAGGUUCAUUCUUUCGGGUAGGGAUAGGUAUUUCGGGUAGUAUUAGUAGUUUGGAUAACCGAAACCCGGUUUAGAACCGAACCCGGAAAGUAAAUGGGUUUAACCGGGUUUAGGAUGUGCUACAGAAUCCGACCCGAACCCGACAAAACCCGAACCGAGACCGAACCGAACUUUUAUAAUACCCGAUUGGGGCUGAUUUUUGUAAACCCGAAAAACCAAAACCCGAUUAGAACCGACCCGAACCCGAAUGGUCACCCGAUUGCCCACGCCUAAUUGUUUCUUAAUGAUUUUCUUUUCUUUCAAAAGGUUACCUUUUAAGGAUCUAUCUGUUCUGUCAAACAUGUUAAAAGGGUACCAGUAUGUAAAUACCGUAGGAAAAAAAAUAACACAGAACUUAACAUACUAAUGGAGGUAAAUCUGUUGGUUAAUCAAAAAGUAUAUACCAGUUUGAUGGUCUAUUGAACCUUACAGUGGAGUUUCUCACUAGUCUCAACAAAAUUUAACCUUUUAUAAGACUCGAUUCAUUCAGAAGCCAAAGAAGCCAAGCUCACUCGCUUUUUCCUUCUCAAAAGUUUCGAAGUACUGAUAUAUAAUCGUCACAGCUAGUAAGAUUCCAGUCCCUGACCCAAUGGCUCCCAUGAAAUCAGCCAAAACAGUGAGUGCACCGAUGCAAACUCCUCCAAAAGCAGCUGCCGUUGGGAUAUACCGGUUCAGCUCCUUCUGCAAGUUAGACUCUCUGUGUCCCGGCAUCACCAUUUGUUGUUCCUAGUCAUUAUAUAUUUCAAUCAAGUGAGUUCCCAGACCUGGGCAGUGUUAAAAAACUUUUUGUCAAUGGAACUGGGUUUCAACAAUACCUUGAGCUGCUUGGCUACGUCUCUAGCAGAAGACCCGGAGACUUCAAUCCAAGUCUUUGAGAAGAGGGCACAAGCGGUGAGCAUGAAGACGAUAUAGAACAGAGCAUGGAACGGAUGAGCUGCCAUCUCGGCGAAGCUGUAACCAUAGAAAACAUAUAUUCAGAAAACUGAGUUAUCAUUGUGUUGAUGGGGACAUAGUAAUUGAGCAUUUACCUUGCUGGAGCUGUGAUCAAGUAAGCAAGACCACUAACUGGUAUAGAUUGUCCACUGUACUCUGAUUCUUUCCACUGCCCCAAUAGGUUUACAAAGAAAUUUCCACUGAACUUCCUGUAGAGUAGCUGUUGACAAGGGACGGAUAUGAAAAUUGUAUUAGAUAAAGGUUCUUUCCUAAAAUCCUUUAUGCGGAAACAAAGGAAGUACCUGAGAGAUGAAGUAGAGGUUUGAGACGAGAGCAGAUUGGAGAAUGAUUGGCAUGUUGGAGGUGUAGAACAGCUUGAUCGGGUAAGAGCCAUGUUGGCCACGGGCACUCUUUGAUCUCACAGGCAACACAACACGAAACCCUUGGAAAUAGAUAACGAUCAGGAAGAUCAAGACCGUUGCAAGCAAGUUGGUAACAUUGGGAAGGUUUUGUCUGUAGAAAGCUUGUCUGAGCGCAGCAACCUUAUUGGAUUUGGUUAUCAGCAUAUGGAACAAGGCGAUCACAGCGCCUUCGAACUCAGCUCCUCGACCAGUGUUGAUUGUUGUAGGACUAAAUGAUUUCCAGAUAAUGCUUUCACUGCGUCACCACAACAAAAGUUGAAAACUUUAUGCAUCUAAAAACAAUCUCCCGCAUAAAAGACUAACACUUUUAAACAUACCAGAUAUUAGUUGCUAUGAAGAGAGAGAUCCCAGAGCCAAGCCCAUAACCCUUUUGAAGAAGCUCGUCGAGGCAGAUAACGAUAAUACCAGCAAAGAAAAGCUGGAGGAUGAUGAGAAUAGAGUUUCCAACACCAAGCUGACCAACAGGACCGUACAUUCCAGAAAGAACAUAAGCAACAGCUUCACCAAUGGCAAUCAAAAUCCCAAGAAGCUUCUGAGCACCAUUCCUACAAAAACACACAACUCAUGAGACAACAAUUCUUGACUCACUCAAUAACUCAAAAUCAUCACAAGUACUUACAAGAGAGCACGAUCCUCACGAACAUUGUUGUCAACCUCAAUGAUCUUAGACCCAGCCAAGAGCUGCAUAACGAGACCAGAGGUGACAAUGGGAGUGAUACCAAGCUCCAUGACAGUACCACGGUUGGAAGCAAGAAUGACACGCAUCCAAUACAAGGGAUCAGCCCCUGUGGUGGCGUGGAUUCCGUAGAGAGGAAGCUGGCUGCAGACGA